AGUGUGUUAAAGCUAUUCUGAUAUUGACUGUAGUUCUGAGCUUUGUCUCUAUCCCACUAAACCACUAACUUCUGGAAAUUAAUUGUAGACCAAGAUGAGAGGACUCUGUGUGUGGCUCCCUCUUGUCAUGUGACAAAGAAACUUCCUAAAAUACUAAAAGCUAAAGGAGAUUGUUAUCUAAGCUUGAGAUGGAAGGUUGCCAGCAGAAACGUGGAGGAUCACAGCCAGUUGCCUGGGAUUGACCAUAGGGAGUGGCAGGGGCAGAAAGCAAAAGACCAGUUGCAAUUAUCCAGGUAAAAGAUGCAGGCUGUUGCAAUAAUCCAGAAUCCUGAAUUGAGUCUGUGUUCCCAGUUCCUAGAAACCCUCAAGGUUAUUGGUUUCCUCCUCGCUUAAUAGAACAAUGGAAGAAAUUUACCUCCAGUUCUAUCUUCACAUGAGCAACUAUUUACAAUUUACAACAUUACUCUGAAAAUCAAUUCUUUUCAAGUUUUAUCUAACACCCACCAGAAGAAACAGAAGAUUAUGAAAAUGGAAUUUGUCAAAGUUCCUCUCCCAACAAUAUGAUAUUUAAUUUUGCUAACAUUUUUUUUGAACACUUACUAUAUUGCAGACAAUGGUAUAAGUAAAGCAUUUUAUGUGCAUCUUAUCAUGUCAUCAUCACACAGCCCUGUGAGGUAGAUACUAUUAUUAUUAACCACAUUUCACACUCAAAAAGACUGAGCCUUAGAGAGACUAAUUGUCCAAGGUCACACAGCCAUGAAGUGGCAGAGCUGUGGUUAAAACCUAUGUCUGUCUGAUGUUUAAGAUUUUGCUGUUAGCAUUACUUUGAAAUGACAAUAUGAGGGCAUUUUAUGUAUUUUUUCCCCCAAUAUGAUCUGCAGAAACUAUGUAUUUUAAGUACUACAUUUCUUUUAUUUACCAAAUUAUUGUCAGAUAAGAAACUGAAAUAAAAGUUUACAGGGUCUAGGAUUCCUCCAUAAUGAAUGAACUUUGGGGUAUUUCAGUGAGAAAUUGGCUUUAAUGUGAUCAAAUUCCAUCCUACAAUGAAAGUGUGUUAGUUUGUGGUUUCAAGUUUAAAAACAGCACUAUAUUGUCUUCCAGAAAUAUAUAAAUAGAAAUUCAAGAAGUAUUUCAAUGAAUACAGAUAAAAUUAGUUUUGUAAGAACAUCAAAUAUGUGGGUUUCAUUUCUUAGCUCGGUUUAGAAACUGUAAUUUCAAUUUUUUUUUAGCAGCUGUGGUAAAUUUUGAGAUUUGAAAUUUCAUAUAAUAUAAAUCCUCAUUUAUUGAGCAUUUAAAUUAUAUGCCCAACAAUUUACUGUGUACAUUACUUCACUUGUUCUUAACUAUAACUCUAUAAAAUAUUAUUGUCCUUGAUUUACAGAUGAAGCUAUUGAGACUCAGUUAAGUAACUUGCCUGAAAUUCAAAAAUGUUAACUGUAGAAGGCAGUAUUUGAACCCAGUGUUCAAAACCCCAUGCUCUUUUUAUUAUAUGACCUUCUUUCCUGUUCAGUCUUCAGAAGAUAUAUUGUCUUAUUAGAUUAUUCUCAUUCUCUAAAUAAGGGACCUUGGGCAACUAUCUUUUUCUCUGGUAUUUUCCCCUGCCUUUAAAACAAUGUGAUCAAACUGGAAGUUUUUCAUGAUCUGUCUUGGCCCUAAAGCUCCUUGGUUCUGUAAUUCCACGAAUAGCCCAUUUCAAAGAUAAUUCUACAGUCAUCAGUGGGACUUCUGUUUUUCUCAUCCUUUUUUUUUUUUGAAACAGAAAAUUGAAACUUUUAAAUUAGUUUAGUAAAUACAUCUACUAGUUUUUUUCUUUUAUAAUCAUGAUUAUAUUAUUUGGUCCUUCUUAGUUGCAACAUGUUUCCUCACUGUCAAUUAUAAUACUUCUCAUCAACAAUAACCUGAAGAAAUAGAUUUGAAUUGCUUUCCCUAAUUUAUAGCUGGAAAACUAGGCUAUGCUGGUAUCUUAAAUUGACUUUCCUGAGGUCAUGGGCACUCAGUGCCAAGAAGAGUUGGUACCUACGCAUUUGAAAUUUCUGGAUUUCUGGUCUUACUCUGUACUUAGUCACUCUUUUCUUUCAUUUGGCCCAAUGGUGGGCAAACUACAGCCUACAGGCCAAUUCCAGCCUACCAUCUGUUUUUGUAUGGUCCAUGAACUAAGAAUGGUUAUCACAUUUUAAAAUGGUGGGAAAAAAAGACUAUUUUGUGACAUAAAAAUUAUAUGAAAUCCAAA
This 2230-nucleotide long non-coding RNA is filed under the name Pongo abelii (Sumatran orangutan). RNAcentral's name for it is "lincRNA". Lineage: Eukaryota; Metazoa; Chordata; Mammalia; Primates; Hominidae. The record is from RNAcentral.